Long non-coding RNA from Chelonia mydas (Green sea turtle), 378 nucleotides. RefSeq lists it as uncharacterized. The record is from RefSeq and is a predicted model, not a curated record. Lineage: Eukaryota; Metazoa; Chordata; Testudines; Cheloniidae. The transcript has 4 exons.
AACAAGCUGGGCUGGAACUAUAAAGACAGGAAAUUGGAAACAGAAGGGGGCUGCUGGGGAAGCCUGUAGUCACUCCCUGGGGGGAGAGAGGAGUAUUUGGAGGCUGUAGGGACAGGAUCUCAGAAAGGAGCAUAUGUGCCAACACUUCCAAAGCUAUCUACCACAUGCUGCAGAGAGGAGCAAAAUAUAGCAGGAAAGGCUCCAGACAUACAGAAGUCCCCUUGGUCUUCACAGACUGCUGCACUGGGCAGCAUAGUAUGGGGAGGAGAUGCCUCCAACGACCAUGUUGUACCUUGUACCUAAGAUGUGAAGAGGCUCUUCCACUUCUCUCUAAGCCCUUCUCUAACAGGAAACAAUAAAAUCAUACUCUCAGAAUGA